CCUACGGGAGGCUGCAGUGAGGAAUAUUGGUCAAUGGGCGGAAGCCUGAACCAGCCAAGUCGCGUGAGGGAGUAAGGCCCUACGGGUCGUAAACCUCUUUUGCCGGGGAGCAGUGCCCAGCUCGUGAGCUGGGAGGGAGCGUACCCGGAGAAAAAGCAUCGGUUACCUCCGUGCCAGCAGCCGCGGUAAUACGGCGGAUGCGAGCGUUAGCCGGAUUUAUUGGGUUUAAAGGGUGGGCAGGCGGGCCUUCAGGCCGGCGGUAAAAUCGCGGGGCUCAACCCCGCCGAGCCGUCGGAACCGGGGGCCUUGAGUACCGGAGAAGUACGCGGAAUGCGUGGUGUAGCGGUGAAAUGCAUAGAUAUCGCGCAGAACCCCGAUUGCGAAGGCAGCGUACCGGCCGGUCACUGACGCUGAGGCACGAAAGCGCGGGUAUCGAACAGGAUUAGAUACCCGGGUAGUC
This 460-nucleotide ribosomal RNA is filed under the name uncultured bacterium. Its description in RNAcentral is "partial 16S ribosomal RNA". It matches the Rfam family "Bacterial small subunit ribosomal RNA", at positions 338 to 795 of the family's 1533-position model. The record is from RNAcentral.